AGGAUAUUGGUGAACUGAACAGAAAAAAUAUAGAGGAUGUCAUUGCUCAGGGUAACGGCAAACUUGCCAGCAUGCCAGUUGGUGGAGCUGUAGCAGUCUCAGCUGGACCAGGUUCUGCUGCUCCUGCUGCUGCACCUGCUGCUGCUGAGGAGAAGAAAAGAGAAGGAGGAGUCUGAGGAAUCUGAUGAUGACAUGGGAUUUGGCCUAUUUGACUAAACUUUUGCUACAGAAGCUAAUAAAACACUUUGUUUAAAAUGGA
Molecule: long non-coding RNA, 259 nt
Organism: Malaclemys terrapin pileata
Lineage: Eukaryota; Metazoa; Chordata; Testudines; Emydidae
Exons: 3
Source: RefSeq, a predicted model, not a curated record